UGCGGCGGGAAUAGGGGCUUCUACUCAGACCCAAGACUCUCGUAACCCGACAGCGCCUUGGAGCCUAAAUCUAAGCACGAUUCAGACAGGACGCUCGUCGCGUCUUGCCAGAGCCCCAACCACGGAUUGCGAACUCUGCCCGAGCUAGGGGCCGCCUGCUGCUCCCUGGACCUUGCUGACCCGGAUCUCGGAGGCCAGCAUAUGGGUGAGGGGGUACUCCCUGGGGCUUGAGCUGCCCCGCACAGGAUGCCCCGUGCCCCCCACUCCAUGCCCUUGCUGCUGCUGUUGCUGCUGUCACUCCCCCAAGCCCAGACUGCCUUUCCCCAGGACCCCAUCCCUCUGUUGACCUCUGACCUACAAGGUACCUCUCCGUCAUCCUGGUUCCGGGGCCUGGAGGACGAUGCUGUGGCUGCGGAACUUGGGCUGGACUUUCAGAGAUUCCUGACCUUGAACCGGACCUUGCUUGUGGCUGCCCGGGAUCACGUUUUCUCCUUCGAUCUUCAAGCCCAAGAAGAAGGGGAGGGGCUGGUGCCCAACAAGUUUCUGACAUGGCGGAGCCAAGACAUGGAGAAUUGUGCUGUCCGGGGAAAGCUGACGGACGAAUGCUACAACUACAUCCGUGUUCUUGUUCCCUGGGACUCGCAGACACUCCUUGCCUGUGGA
RNAcentral lists this long non-coding RNA (663 nucleotides) under Rattus norvegicus (Norway rat). RNAcentral describes it as "long non-coding RNA NONRATT015550". Lineage: Eukaryota; Metazoa; Chordata; Mammalia; Rodentia; Muridae. The record is from RNAcentral.